Molecule: long non-coding RNA, 216 nt
Filed under: Elaeis guineensis (African oil palm)
Lineage: Eukaryota; Viridiplantae; Streptophyta; Magnoliopsida; Arecales; Arecaceae
Description: long non-coding RNA (EGUI_LNC039623)
Source: RNAcentral
CCAUGGUGGAAUUUAGGGGUGAGUGUGGUAUGGAUAUUAUUUGUCUGGAUCUAUUUUCAUAUCUAAAUUAAUUUACAUAUAGAUAAAAAUUUAAAGAUCUGACUAAUAUUUAUAUCCAUAUCCAUAUUCAUUAAAGAAAAAUAGAUAUGGAUAUAGAUAGAUAACUAUUCGAUCCAUAUCCGAAUAUCCGAAUAUACAUGUAAGUCUAUAUAAUUU